GGGGAGGUAGCUUAACGGUAAAGCACUCAUCGAGAGAUGAGAAGAUCUUGGAUUUGAGUCCGGGCCUCCCCG
RNAcentral lists this transfer RNA (72 nucleotides) under Pleodorina starrii. Its description in RNAcentral is "tRNA-Leu". It matches the Rfam family "tRNA". From Rfam's summary of the family: Transfer RNA (tRNA) molecules are approximately 80 nucleotides in length. Their secondary structure includes four short double-helical elements and three loops (D, anti-codon, and T loops). Further hydrogen bonds mediate the characteristic L-shaped molecular structure. tRNAs have two regions of fundamental functional importance: the anti-codon, which is responsible for specific mRNA codon recognition, and the 3' end, to which the tRNAs corresponding amino acid is attached (by aminoacyl-tRNA synthetases). tRNAs cope with the degeneracy of the genetic code in two manners: having more than one tRNA (with a specific anti-codon) for a particular amino acid; and 'wobble' base-pairing, i.e. permitting non-standard base-pairing at the 3rd anti-codon position. Lineage: Eukaryota; Viridiplantae; Chlorophyta; Chlorophyceae; Chlamydomonadales; Volvocaceae. The record is from RNAcentral.